UGAAGAAGGUCGAAAGCUAUGUUGUUCUUGUGUUAUGUGUUUUUCUUCUGAAGGCCUCGGCUAUCAAAGACAAGGUCCCUUGCCCUCUAAAAUGUUGGGCAGUCGAUUGUCCUGUGUAUCGAUUUCCGAAUAACGGGAGCGAAUAUUGUCCCGAUUGUCCUAGCGGGGAUCCAAACCAGCCUUGUUCAAUCCCACAGUGUGAGGAACAAUGUCCAGAGGACUAAAAGACUCCGAGCAGUGAAGGCUUGUUAUCGCAAAUUUCAGAUGAAAAUAAUUGCAUGUUUAAAUUUGG
This 292-nucleotide unclassified non-coding RNA is filed under the name Hevea brasiliensis (rubber tree). Lineage: Eukaryota; Viridiplantae; Streptophyta; Magnoliopsida; Malpighiales; Euphorbiaceae. The record is from RNAcentral.